UUUGAUCAUGGCUCAGGAUGAACGCUAGCUACAGGCUUAACACAUGCAAGUCGAGGGGAAACGACAUCGAAAGCUUGCUUUUGAUGAGCGUCGACCGGCGCACGGGUGAGUAACGCGUAUCCAACCUGCCCACCACUUGGGGAUAACCCUGCGAAAGUAAGACUAAUACCCAAUGAUAUCCCACGAAGGCAUCCGAAUGGGAUUAAAGAUUUAUCGGUGAUGGAUGGGGAUGCGUCUGAUUAGCUUGUUGGCGGGGUAACGGCCCACCAAGGCUACGAUCAGUAGGGGUUCUGAGAGGAAGGUCCCCCACAUUGGAACUGAGACACGGUCCAAACUCCUACGGGAGGCAGCAGUGAGGAAUAUUGGUCAAUGGGCGAGAGCCUGAACCAGCCAAGUAGCGUGCAGGACGACGGCCCUAUGGGUUGUAAACUGCUUUUAUAAGGGAAUAAAGUGAGUCUCGUGAGACUUUUUGCAUGUACCUUAUGAAUAAGGACCGGCUAAUUCCGUGCCAGCAGCCGCGGUAAUACGGAAGGUCCGGGCGUUAUCCGGAUUUAUUGGGUUUAAAGGGAGCGUAGGCCGGAGAUUAAGCGUGUUGUGAAAUGUAGUGGCUCAACCUCUGCACUGCAGCGCGAACUGGUCUUCUUGAGUACGCACAACGUGGGCGGAAUUCGUGGUGUAGCGGUGAAAUGCUUAGAUAUCACGAAGAACUCCGAUUGCGAAGGCAGCUCACGGGAGCGCAACUGACGCUGAAGCUCGAAAGUGCGGGUAUCGAACAGGAUUAGAUACCCUGGUAGUCCGCACGGUAAACGAUGGAUGCCCGCUGUUGGCCUGAAUAGGUCAGCGGCCAAGCGAAAGCAUUAAGCAUCCCACCUGGGGAGUACGCCGGCAACGGUGCAACUCAAAUGAAUUGACGGA
This 915-nucleotide ribosomal RNA is filed under the name uncultured Bacteroidota bacterium. RNAcentral's name for it is "bacterial SSU rRNA". It matches the Rfam family "Bacterial small subunit ribosomal RNA", at positions 12 to 917 of the family's 1533-position model. The record is from RNAcentral. Lineage: Bacteria; Pseudomonadati; Bacteroidota.